ACGGAGGGUGCGAGCGUUGUCCGGAAUCACUGGGCGUAAAGGGCGCGUAGGCGGCUUGGGAAGUCCGUGGUGAAAGCUCGUGGCUCAACUACGAGUCGGCCAUGGAUACUCCUAAGCUCGAGUCGACUAGAGGCAGAUGGAAUUCCGGGUGUAGCGGUGGAAUGCGUAGAGAUCCGGAAGAACACCGGUGGCGAAGGCGGUCUGCUGGGCAGUAGCUGACGCUGAGGCGCGAUAGCGUGGGGAGCAAACAGGA
This 253-nucleotide ribosomal RNA is filed under the name uncultured prokaryote. RNAcentral's name for it is "partial 16S ribosomal RNA". It matches the Rfam family "Bacterial small subunit ribosomal RNA", at positions 525 to 777 of the family's 1533-position model. The record is from RNAcentral.